This 787-nucleotide ribosomal RNA is filed under the name Enterococcus faecalis. RNAcentral describes it as "bacterial SSU rRNA". It matches the Rfam family "Bacterial small subunit ribosomal RNA", at positions 23 to 781 of the family's 1533-position model. Lineage: Bacteria; Bacillati; Bacillota; Bacilli; Lactobacillales; Enterococcaceae. The record is from RNAcentral.
CUCAGGACGAACGCUGGCGGCGUGCAUAAUACAUGCAAGUCGAACGCUUCUUUCCUCCCGAGUGCUUGCACUCAAUUGGAAAGAGGAGUGGCGGACGGGUGAGUAACACGUGGGUAACCUACCCAUCAGAGGGGGAUAACACUUGGAAACAGGUGCUAAUACCGCAUAACAGUUUAUGCCGCAUGGCAUAAGAGUGAAAGGCGCUUUCGGGUGUCGCUGAUGGAUGGACCCGCGGUGCAUUAGCUAGUUGGUGAGGUAACGGCUCACCAAGGCCACGAUGCAUAGCCGACCUGAGAGGGUGAUCGGCCACACUGGGACUGAGACACGGCCCAGACUCCUACGGGAGGCAGCAGUAGGGAAUCUUCGGCAAUGGACGAAAGUCUGACCGAGCAACGCCGCGUGAGUGAAGAAGGUUUUCGGAUCGUAAAACUCUGUUGUUAGAGAAGAACAAGGACGUUAGUAACUGAACGUCCCCUGACGGUAUCUAACCAGAAAGCCACGGCUAACUACGUGCCAGCAGCCGCGGUAAUACGUAGGUGGCAAGCGUUGUCCGGAUUUAUUGGGCGUAAAGCGAGCGCAGGCGGUUUCUUAAGUCUGAUGUGAAAGCCCCCGGCUCAACCGGGGAGGGUCAUUGGAAACUGGGAGACUUGAGUGCAGAAGAGGAGAGUGGAAUUCCAUGUGUAGCGGUGAAAUGCGUAGAUAUAUGGAGGAACACCAGUGGCGAAGGCGGCUCUCUGGUCUGUAACUGACGCUGAGGCUCGAAAGCGUGGGGAGCAAACAGGAUUAG